This 253-nucleotide ribosomal RNA is filed under the name uncultured bacterium. RNAcentral's name for it is "partial 16S ribosomal RNA". It matches the Rfam family "Bacterial small subunit ribosomal RNA", at positions 524 to 776 of the family's 1533-position model. The record is from RNAcentral.
UACGUAGGGGCCUAGCGUUGUCCGGAAUUAUUGGGCGUAAAGAGCUUGUAGGCGGUCUGUCGCGUCUGCUGUGAAAAUCCGGGGCUCAACCCCGGACUUGCAGUGGGUACGGGCAGACUAGAGUGUGGUAGGGGAGACUGGAAUUCCUGGUGUAGCGGUGAAAUGCGCAGAUAUCGGGAGGAACACCAACGGCGAAGGCAGCACUCUGGGCCGGAACUGACGCUGAGGAGCGAAAGCGUGGGUAGCGAACAGG